ACCGGCUCAGGGUUGACUCAGCCUUCCAUCCUUCCGAGGCACUAAAUGUGGCAGCACUGAAGCUCCAAUGGAAGAGAUGGCUUCCAGGGUUGACACAUCAGAUUUUAAAAGGAAGAUGGAAAGCAGCUUGGGUUAUGAAGAUGAUAAAGAGCCUGGAAAUCAAGCCUUGUAAGUAAAGUUUAAAUCAGCUGGGCAUUUCUUUUCAAGCUACAGAGCUUGAAAAAUAGAAGAAUGAGAGAGAUCAUUGUGUGUGUCUUACAAAUACUUAAAAGUAUUUUGAACUCAUGAGAUACUCAUUUGAAAUCUGACUUAUCAGACAGGAUUAAAUUUGUGUCAUCCUGGUGCUUUGUUUUUAUGAUCCACAUAUUUUUUUUUUGUUUUAGAGCAAGGACAAGAAAAGGAGAUUGACUCAUGGUACAGUAUAAAUGCAAGUGGGAUGUUUAAAUUCAGAGAUGUUAGUUGCCGAGAGAGAUUAGAUUAUAAGAAGAUAGAGAGGAAUGCUUAAGGUUAAAAAUUGUAGUUUAGCUGGUGUACAGAGUUUCUGAUGUAUGGUAUCUUAAUAAUGGAUACACUGAAUGUUAAUCCCUACAAAAGCACCCUAGAUCUCUCUAGAUUGGGCUGCAUACAAGUUUAACUAAAAUCCAGAACAUUUUAGGAUUUAAGUGACUUAGAUUUCAGCAACCAGUAUUAACAUGAAUCAAGCAGAUGAUGGGAGAAUAGAUUAAAAGAGUUGGACCAAUAUGCAGAGUAACACAAGACACUGAGUGGAUGCGAAGUUAAACAAAGGAAAUUCAAACUGUAUCUUAGGAGGAAUUUUAUGAUAGUAGAAUGAUUAAAGAUUGGAAUGCACUGCAGAGAAAAGUAAGAAUUUCCCUCUUGCUGGAGAUUUUCAAACGGGGGCUGAUUUAACUGAUUCUUGCAAGGGAAGGAGCAGGUUGUAACCUCCGCAGGAGGUUGACCUGUACUAUUUUUUUUUAAAUCAUACAAUUCUGAUUCUGAAAUUCCUACAGGCUGUAUUCAUACCCUGAACACCACCAUAGUCUACUUUUCUUGGUUUUGCUUGGUACACUUUGUGAAUCCAGCCAUGGAGGAUAGUAAACUUUGUUUUAUGGUGUAGUGUUCACAUUCAAAGUGACAAUAAAGUUAUUCUAAGUCUAA
Long non-coding RNA from Thamnophis elegans (Western terrestrial garter snake), 1158 nucleotides. RefSeq lists it as uncharacterized. The record is from RefSeq and is a predicted model, not a curated record. The transcript has 2 exons. Lineage: Eukaryota; Metazoa; Chordata; Lepidosauria; Squamata; Natricidae.